GAUGAACGCUAGCGGCAGGCUUAACACAUGCAAGUCGAGGGGUAACAGGGAAGAGCUUGCUUUUCUGCUGACGACCGGCGCACGGGUGCGUAACGCGUAUAGAACCUACCUUUUACAGGGGAAUAGCCCAGAGAAAUUUGGAUUAAUGCCCCAUAGUAUUAUUGAAUGGCAUCAUUUAAUAAUUAAACAUUUAUGGGUAAAAGAUGGCUAUGCGUUCUAUUAGCUAGAUGGUAAGGUAACGGCUUACCAUGGCAACGAUAGAUAGGGGUCCUGAGAGGGAGAUCCCCCACACUGGUACUGAGACACGGACCAGACUCCUACGGGAGGCAGCAGUGAGGAAUAUUGGACAAUGGAGGCAACUCUGAUCCAGCCAUGCCGCGUGCAGGAAGACGGUCCUAUGGAUUGUAAACUGCUUUUAUAUAGGAAGAAACCUUUCCACGUGUGGAAAGCUGACGGUACUAUAAGAAUAAGCACCGGCUAACUCCGUGCCAGCAGCCGCGGUAAUACGGAGGGUGCAAGCGUUAUCCGGAAUCAUUGGGUUUAAAGGGUCCGUAGGCGGACUAAUAAGUCAGGGGUGAAAUCCAACAGCUUAACUGUUGAACUGCCUUUGAUACUGUUAGUCUUGAGUUAUAUGGAAGUAGAUAGAAUAUGUAGUGUAGCGGUGAAAUGCUUAGAGAUUACAUAGAAUACCGAUUGCGAAGGCAGUCUACUACGUAUAUACUGACGCUAA
This 730-nucleotide ribosomal RNA is filed under the name Lutibacter sp. Its description in RNAcentral is "bacterial SSU rRNA". It matches the Rfam family "Bacterial small subunit ribosomal RNA", at positions 28 to 749 of the family's 1533-position model. The record is from RNAcentral. Lineage: Bacteria; Pseudomonadati; Bacteroidota; Flavobacteriia; Flavobacteriales; Flavobacteriaceae.